UUUAAAGACUCAGUUAGAAUCUUGUACAGAGUUCCUAGUAAAGAAUUCUGAGGAACUGGAAGUCUGUUGGAGUCCAACUGACAACUUCAUUCCUGGUGGUCUGUCUGUCUGAGAAGGGGCCUAUGAAUCAACUCUGGGAAAACCUGGAAAACCGAGUGGCAAUUAGAGAGGAAAAAAAAGUUGGAGCUUUGGGAAUAGCUGGAGAAAGAAGAACAAUAAGCAAGAAGAAGUAGAGUAAAGAUGGUGGAUUAGAGGCAGCAAAAGUUCAGACCUCCACAAACCCUUCUUUACCAAUCAAAAACACAAUGCUUUGAGGAGACUGAAAACCAAAUCUAACAACAGGACAGAGCCAGGGAACCCUCCUUCUGGAUCAAACUUAAAAGAUUUCUUCAAUAAAAUGAGUAACAUAGAAAAAUGUUUAACAUGAUUGUACAAGUAAAAUAUUCAUCAUAUUUCUUACUAUCACAGGGAUGAGAACAAGAGGUCUUGGCCAUCAUCACUCUGACAGCUGGCAUGAAGAUCACCUCAACAGGAUAGGCAACUCUAACUAUGAGGUGCUUUAUGUUCCAGUAAACAACCUAUAGUUAUUACCAUUAUUAAAAAUACCAGUUGUUAAAGUAGCAGCAGAGAUGGAAACAGGUGGGUUGUGUGGGCUGAGAUGUCACUCUUCUGGAAUGUGCAGUGAA
RNAcentral lists this long non-coding RNA (686 nucleotides) under Monodelphis domestica (gray short-tailed opossum). Its description in RNAcentral is "lncRNA (ENSMODG00000031637.2)". The record is from RNAcentral. Lineage: Eukaryota; Metazoa; Chordata; Mammalia; Didelphimorphia; Didelphidae.